UUUAAAGCGAAUAAGGGCGCAUGGUGGAUGCCUAGGGUCUGAGAGGCGAUGAAGGACGUGGUAAGCUGCGAUAAGCUACGGGGAGCUGCACACGAGCGUUAUAUCCGUAGAUUUCCGAAUGGGACAACCUAAUAUACUGAAGGUAUAUUACCCGCCGCAAGGCGGGAGCCAACCCCGAGAACUGAAACAUCUAAGUACCGGGAGGAAAAGAAAACAACAGUGAUUCCCCAAGUAGUGGCGAGCGAAAAGGGAACAGCCCAAACCGAGUCGGCGUGCCGAUUCGGGGUUAUAGGACUGCAUUUAGAAAGUGUUAUCAAACUGAAUCAUCUGGAAAGAUGAGCCAUAGCAGGUGAUAGCCCUGUAGGUACAAAUUAACAUGGACGAGCAGUAUCCUGAGUAAUGCGGGACCGGAGGAAUCUUGCAUGAAUUUGCCAGCACCAUCUGGUAAGGCUAAAUACUCCUCAGACACCGAUAGUGAACCAGUACCGUAAGGGAAAGGUGAAAAGCACCCCGAACAGGGGAGUGAAAUAGUACCUGAAACCGUGCGCCUACAAGCGGUCGGAGUCCGCCUCGGCGGAUGACGGCGUGCCUUUUGCAUAAUGAGCCUACGAGUUACUCCUAACUGGCGAGGUUAAGUUCAUAUUUAACGGAGCCGAAGCGAAAGCGAGUCCAAAUAGGGCGAUUAGUCAGUUGGGGUAGACGCGAAACUUUGUGAUCUAUCCAUGGGCAGGUUGAAGGUUAGGUAAAACUAACUGGAGGACCGAACCCGUUGACGUUGAAAAGUCUUGGGAUGACCUGUGGAUAGGGGUGAAAGGCCAAUCAAACUGAGAGAUAGCUCGUUCUCCCCGAAAUGUUUUUAGGAACAGCGUUGCAUAUAGAAGUUUAUUAGAGGUAGAGCUACUGAUUGGGCUAGGGGGCUUCACCGCCUACCAAACCCUGACAAACUCCGAAUGCUAAUAAAUAUCUGCAGCAGUGAGGCUUUGGGCGCUAAGGUCCAGGGCCGAGAGGGAAAUAACCCAGAUUAGCAACUAAGGUCCCUAAUACGUAGUUAAGUUGAUCAAACGAGGUGGGAUUUCUAUAACAGCCAGGAUGUUGGCUUGGAAGCAGCCAUUCAUUUAAAGAGUGCGUAACAGCUCACUGGUCGAGAGAUCCUGCACGGAAAAUAAUCGGGCAUCAAACUACGAACCGAAGUUCUAAAUUUCCGCCUUGUGCGGAAGUGGUAGGGGAGCAUUGAAAUCUGCACUGAAGGUGUAUGGCGACAUAUGCUGGAGCGAUUUCAAAAGAAAAUGUAGGCAUAAGUAACGAUAAUUAAAGUGAAAAACUUUAACGCGAAAAGUCUAAGGUUUCCUGAUCAACGUUAAUCGGAUCAGGGUUAGUCUGGUCCUUAGGAAAACCCGAAAGGGGCAUCUGAUGGAAAGCUGGUUAAUAUUCCAGCACCUGCUAUACAUUAAAAGUGACGCAGGGACGUGGUGGUUGCGUACGGACGGAAGUGUACGCCUGAGUGGAGUCUUCGGACAAAGCGAAACCAUAAAAUCCCUGCCAAGAAAAGCGAGUAUAGCAGCCAGUACCGGAAUCCGACACAGGUAGACGGGAUGAGUAUUCUAACGCGCUCGGGUGAGCCGUGGAGAAGGAACUAGGCAAAUUGACGCUGUAACUUCGGGAUAAAGCGUACCAGCCGCAAGGCUGGUCACAGUAAAAUGGUUCAACCAACUGUUUAACAAAAACACAGGGCCCUGCAAAAACGUAAGUUGACGUAUAGAGCCUGAAACCUGCCCGGUGCUGGAAGGUUAAGGAAGGGUGUUCGGCGCAAGCCAAAGCUCCUGACUGAAGCCCCAGUAAACGGCGGCCGUAACUAUAACGGUCCUAAGGUAGCGAAAUUCCUUGUCGGGUAAGUUCCGACCUGCACGAAUGGUCUAAUGAGUUGAACACUGUCUCCUCCACGAGCCCGGUGAAAUUGUAGUAUCGGUGAAGAUGCCGGUUACCCGCCACGGGACGGAAAGACCCCGUGAACCUUCACUACAACUUUGCAUUGAUUUUGAGCAACAAAUGUGUAGGAUAGUUGGGAGACUUUGAAGCAGUGUCGCCAGGCAUUGUGGAGUCAUCGUUGAAAUACCAACCUUUUGUUGCUUAGAACCUAACCCUGAACAAGGGGACAUUGCAUGGUGGGUAGUUUGACUGGGGUGGUCGCCUCCUAAAAAGUAACGGAGGCUCGCAAAGGUACCCUCAGUACGGUUGGUAAUCGUACGUAGAGCGCAUUAGUAUAAGGGUGCUUGACUGUGAGGCAAACACGCCGAGCAGGAGCGAAAGCUGGCUAAAGUGAUCCGGUGGUUCUGCAUGGAAGGGCCAUCGCUCAAAGGAUAAAAGGUACUCCGGGGAUAACAGGCUGAUCUUACCCAAGAGCUCAUAUCGACGGUAAGGUUUGGCACCUCGAUGUCGGUUCGUCACAUCCUGGGGCUGGAGAAGGUCCCAAGGGUUCGGCUGUUCGCCGAUUAAAGUGGCACGUGAACUGGGUUCAGAACGUCGCAAGACAGUUCGGUCCCUAUCUGUGGUGGGCGCUAGUAAAUUGAGUGGACAUGACCUUAGUACGAGAGGACCGGGUCGUACGUGCCGCUGGUGUAUCUGUUGUGCCGCCAGGUGCAAUGCAGAGUAGCUAUGCACGGACAGGAUAAACGCUGAAAGCAUCUAAGCGUGAAACCUUCCACAAGAUGAGUUUACUUUUAAGGGUCGUCAAAGACUAUGACGUUGAUAGGCUAUAGGUGUAAAGCUGGUAACAGCAAAGCCAAGUAGUACUAAUUGCCCGUAAGCUUUAUUUU
RNAcentral lists this ribosomal RNA (2813 nucleotides) under Sediminibacterium sp. RNAcentral describes it as "23S ribosomal RNA". It matches the Rfam family "Bacterial large subunit ribosomal RNA". Lineage: Bacteria; Pseudomonadati; Bacteroidota; Chitinophagia; Chitinophagales; Chitinophagaceae. RNAcentral also lists the same sequence under 1 other name. The record is from RNAcentral.